Molecule: ribosomal RNA, 502 nt
Filed under: uncultured bacterium
Lineage: Bacteria
Description: bacterial SSU rRNA
Rfam family: Bacterial small subunit ribosomal RNA
Source: RNAcentral
UGAACGCUGGCGGCGUGCUUAACACAUGCAAGUCGCACGAGAACGCUUCUGCUUGCAGAGGCUAGUAAAGUGGCGCACGGGUGAGUAACGCGUGGGUAAUCUACCCCCGGAUCCGGGAUAACCCUCCGAAAGGGGUGCUAAUACCGGAUGAGAUCAUAUUUGCUGCGGUGAAUAUGAUGAAAGGUGGCCUCUCCAUGGAAGCUACUGUUUGGGGAUGAGCCCGCGUACCAUUAGCUAGUUGGUGGGGUAAUGGCCUACCAAGGCAGCGAUGGUUAGCUGGUCUGAGAGGAUGAUCAGCCACACUGGAACUGACACACGGUCCAGACUCCUACGGGAGGCAGCAGUGAGGAAUUUUGCGCAAUGGGGGAAACCCUGACGCAGCAACGCCGCGUGAGUGAAGAAGGCUUUCGGGUCGUAAAGCUCUGUCGAGUGGGAAGAAAUCAUGUAUGUUUAAUAUACAUACGUGCUGACGGUACCACAGAAGGAAGCACCGGCUAACUCC